Molecule: transfer RNA, 63 nt
Filed under: Paraphysomonas imperforata
Lineage: Eukaryota; Chrysophyceae; Chromulinales; Paraphysomonadaceae
Rfam family: tRNA
About the family: Transfer RNA (tRNA) molecules are approximately 80 nucleotides in length. Their secondary structure includes four short double-helical elements and three loops (D, anti-codon, and T loops).
Source: RNAcentral
GAUUGGCGCAGCGGAAGCGCAGUGGUCUCAUGAGCCGAAGGUCGGAGGUUCGAAUCCUCCAUC